Molecule: ribosomal RNA, 390 nt
Filed under: Triticum aestivum (bread wheat)
Lineage: Eukaryota; Viridiplantae; Streptophyta; Magnoliopsida; Poales; Poaceae
Description: partial small subunit ribosomal RNA
Source: RNAcentral
AUGGCAGCCGCGUCAGGAAUCGCCGGUACGUUCUCCGUCCGCCCCACGGCGCCGGCGGGCCGGCUAUGCUCGUGCGCCGCCGCGGCCGGCGAGGCGAGGUCCCGCGGCGCCGACGGGGGCGGGGGCGGGGCCGGGAAGUGGUGGGCGCCGCUCCUGGGGUGGUCGGGCCAGGCCGACUACAUCGACGCCCAGCCGGCGCCGGCGCUGGAGGAGGACCGCGACCGGGCUGCGGGGAUGAGGCGGUUCGGGGUGCUGACGGAGGAGAAGGCGCGGCAGCUGCGGCUGCGGAUGAUGGAGACGGAGAGCUUCCACGACGUCAUGUACCACUCCGCCAUCGCGUCCCGCCUCGCCUCCGCCCCGCCCGACACCGCCCGCCGCACCAAGCCGUAG